RNAcentral lists this unclassified non-coding RNA (831 nucleotides) under Dermacentor andersoni. RNAcentral's name for it is "uncharacterized LOC126523573". The record is from RNAcentral. Lineage: Eukaryota; Metazoa; Arthropoda; Arachnida; Ixodida; Ixodidae.
UCCAUGCGCUGCCGCUGCUUAUUUUCGAACCACUGCGGAAGGUGACACUGUGCAAGUUCAGUGUUGAUCAAGUGCAUACAUUGGGCCAUCAGAAAGAGACUGGACAUGUGAUGGUGGAAACGAGCACCCAAACUGCCAUGGCCUUCCAACGGACCAUCCCUGUGCAGACUAGACCAACGAAAUUAAGGAGCCAAGGUACAUGCACGGGCCCUGAAUGAUGAGCUGAAGGAGAAAUAAUCAUCCAUUUUAUGCUGAAGAGAAUACAUUGAAGAGGCUCGACCGGAGGGAAGCAAGCCACCAUCAAGCUAGCACCUGUUGUGGUACACUAAGGAACACCUUGCCUAGAGUCGACCACGUGGAACCAGCUGUUUGCUGGCAAUGCCAAACGCUGCCAUCAUGAAGAUAGCGCACGAAGAGUGCAUGCGAGAAACCUUAAGCAGUACAUUAUUGCCAAAAGUGUUCAAGGAGUAUUGUAAUGAUAUUUGCGACUUGUCACUUUCUUGUUUGUUGAAUGGAAGUGCAAACCCUCUGAAUCCCAGAAAAAUAUCCUCGAGUAUCAUAGCACCGUAAAUAAUUUAUACUACAAUGCUUUUUUUGUAGUACCAGGAGGUGCACCCUCCACGACAUCACAAUGCACUAGGUUGCUCCAUUCUCGUGUCCACUGCAGCUAUAGCCAAACGUGUGCAGCAUUCUGAACCCUGUAUAAUGCCCAUUGUAUCAUGUAUGGUAUGCCGUUCUGAUACCUUUAAAUUCUGAUUUUAGCAUGAAAGCUACACACAUAGCCUGCAGCAGAGCUCUUUAUAAACCGUAGUGUGUUUAGUUGUGGAUACU